Long non-coding RNA from Micropterus dolomieu (smallmouth bass), 864 nucleotides. RefSeq lists it as uncharacterized. The transcript is spliced from 3 exons. The record is from RefSeq and is a predicted model, not a curated record. NCBI's taxonomy places the organism in Eukaryota, Metazoa, Chordata, Actinopteri, Centrarchiformes, Centrarchidae.
CUACCAGUGUUUCAUCAUUAGUUACUUGUGUUGGGGUUAUUCCUCUGGUUUCCCUUGUGACAUUUGGAUUACUUUGUCACUUCCUGGUUUCUGGAUUUCACCUGUUUUUGUAUGGAUUACCUUGUUUGUUCUGGACAGCCAACUUUGCCUUAACUUCCCAAGAUAAAGAUUUGAGCAGAGGAUGAAAAGAUGAAAAAUCUUGUGGAUGAGAGUGACAGCUUCCAGAAAUAACAUCUGAGGAGCAAACAUACAGAAAAUCAGCACAAGAAAUUUGGAUAAAGAAGUAGCAGGCCUUGAGACAAUCCACCCAGCCCAAUCAAACCAGACCAGGCACCAUGACUGUUGCUGUGAUCACCCCAGAGGAAAGAAAAGAGAGCCGGGACAGGAGCCUGGCCCAGCUUGGACUUAAGGCUGCUCCUGGCUAAUGCCUGGUCUGGACGAAAUGGGACUUAGGUUGGCCAAGCAAUGGUAACUCAGAGACUGUUUGACUGUGCCCACAUCUUUACAGAGACCUGCUCCAUCAACAUCCCCGAUCAAGCACUCGUUGGGCUGACCAUGUUCUGAGCCAACAGAGCACAAGAAUCAGACAUGAUAAGAGUAUGUGUUUACAUCAAUGAUGGUGCUCGAACGGAGUCAAAGUGGAUGGACACUGUUUCCCAAAUGUUUGUGUCUAUGUGAAGAUGAAAACCAUAUUAUCAUCACUAUCUUACUGUUGUUUAUAUUUACCAGGUUACCACUUUACCAGUUCAAAAAAAAAAAUGUACUGCACAAUUAUUUCCUGGGUGUAUGUAUGUAUGUAUGUAUGUAUGUAUGUAUGUAUGUAUGUAUGUAUAUUUUUGUAUAUAGAUAACUGUAUAUUGAUUU